This 1207-nucleotide long non-coding RNA is filed under the name Equus asinus (donkey). RNAcentral's name for it is "lncRNA (ENSEASG00005032251.1)". The record is from RNAcentral. Lineage: Eukaryota; Metazoa; Chordata; Mammalia; Perissodactyla; Equidae.
CACAAUUUUAAGUAAAGAGCCUGUAAGAGUCAGUGGUUUUCUUAGAAAUUCUUUGGCCAGAGGAAGAAGAGAAUCAGGAAGCCUUCUGUCAAACAAAAAUUACAAAAUUUACAGCUGAGAUCAGCCUGUGAAUCCAGCUGAUGCAGAACAGCAACGGUUUGAACCACAACAGUCACGAACGACGUUUCUUUCCCAUGAAAGGCCAGCCUACAGCCCUGGGUCCAUUCAAUCAUCAACGCAAGCGCUUUCUCUGGAAGGACAAUUCUUUUGAAAAUUUAGGUUUCUGGCCUUUUUGCUUCCUGCUUCCAAUUAGUUCCAUGUGCAGGAACCCACAACCCAAGGUCUCCAGACACUGUUUCAUCAAACCAGUGACACCAUCGAUCGCAAGACUCACCCUCACUUUGGACCACCAGGAAAAAGGGUGCUAAACGCUGACACUCCCCGGGCUGUGAGAUCAUUUCAGAGAUGUUAAAAUGUGAAAGAAUGGGCAUCCUAGAAUUAAUGAGUUGCAGGAAGUCGUAAGCUAGACUGACUUCUGAGCUCUGUGCAUCCCCCGACUAUCUCAACGGUGGUCUCAAUGGUGGCCCCUUUGGGGCCGUCUGGAGCGAUCCUCAGAGGCCUGCCUUGAUCCCACAGAACUGGCUAAGGCACCCCAAGUCUGAGGCCCCCACCUCUGCUUACCCAUCAUCCUCCGUUACACUCAAGAUCCUUGAGGACGGGAGCUGAGCCUGUUUCCUCCUCAGCUAUGCCCUAUUGCAGCGCGUGGCAUGUGACAGAUGUUCCCUAAAUAGAUGUUGGGUGCAUGACUGAGUGAAGGAGUCCCCAGGUCUUGGAAAGACAGAGGCCACACAGCCCCGGGAGCUGAAGGGAGCGUGUCCUAGGAAUUCGGCACUGGCAGGUGAGCCGUCGCUGCUACAGCUGAUGCUGGUUUUCAGCGCAUCACGGUGUCCUACGUCUCGGGCAGAUCCUGGGGGUCUGGCCUUCUGGGAUGAGAGGAGACAACUGUGACAUCGCCAUCCUGGAAAAUUCCUACUCAUGUCCACAGCUACGGGUCCCAGGCCCUUGGUGUGCCAUGGGAGUGUGUGGAGACUGACAAACACUAGCUGCCUCCCCAGGGACGCUGCCAACUUCCCUGAGAACAGAAGCAUCUCCUGAUUGGCAUCUUGGAACGUGAUUCUCCCUGGAGGGGGGUGAUCAUGCCGGCGAG